Long non-coding RNA from Thalassophryne amazonica, 100 nucleotides. RefSeq lists it as uncharacterized. The record is from RefSeq and is a predicted model, not a curated record. NCBI's taxonomy places the organism in Eukaryota, Metazoa, Chordata, Actinopteri, Batrachoidiformes, Batrachoididae. The transcript has 3 exons.
ACAGAGGCAGACAACCAGCUGUCUUUCAUUGUCAAUCAGAGUGAGGGUUUGUAGCAACAAGGCCCAAGUGGUCACUAUGCCACCAGCUAACACUGCCUUU